UUGUGUGAAGGCAUCUGCUGGUAUAGCCCCAAUCCCUGAAACACACAUCUGGGNUUAGCUGUCCAGCCUCUGCAUUAUGAGAAGGCACAGCAGGCAUCGAGUGUACCAAUCUGCCUAUCGUUCACGAAAGGCUCUGAACAAGACACCUGGCUUCCAUCUCUCCAUCAACGAACUCAUUUGGAAAUAUCUGCUCAGAUGCUGGUAUGGCCCCAACUUCGGGUUCAGGGGUGAACAAGGGCACACCUCAUGGAGCUUCCAUCCAGCUAUGGGACUUAGCUGCCUUGGUGACAAACACUUGUAUCCAGGUCUUCUGGCUGGAUUCGGGUGGGGUUAUUCAUCCACUCUGAAUUCAGCUCAGAAGCCCUGGGGUAGCACCGACUAGAAGUGCACAUUGGAUUACGUCACCACCCUCUCUUUCAUGGCUUCCCAUUAUUCUUGGAAUCUUGAGGAAGGCCCUGCAUGGUCUGGCCUCAGCCCCUCCGUUUCUCACUCUCAUUUUCUGUGCUCCUGUUCCUCGAGUGGUCCACACUCCCUCCCAUCACAGGGCCUUUGCAUGUGCCAUUCCCUUUGCCUGGUGGUUCUCUGUGGUGAACAGAUGUUAAGGUGACCACCAUCAUGCUCACUUCCUGGCAUUCACACCCUUGAGUGUGGAGGGAUCUGUGACUUGUUUCUUUCUUUCUUUUUUUUUUUUUAAAGAUUUAAUUUAUUUAUUUGACAGAGAGACAGCCAGCGUGAGAGGGAACACAGGCAGGGGGAGUGAGAGAGGAAGAAGCAGGCUCCCAGUGGAGGAGCCUGAUGUGAGGCUUGAUCCCAGACUGCUGGGAUAACGCCCUGAGCCUAAGGCAGACGCCCAACGACUGAGCCACCCAGGCGCCCCUGGACCUGUGACUUGUUUCUAACCAACAGAAUACGGCACAGGCAAUGGAAUGUCACUGCUGUGAUUAUGUUAAUUAUGUAAGACUCCACCUUGCUGGUGGACUCACUUUAGAGUCCUCCCCUACCCCCACCUUUCUCACUCUUGCUCUCACUGGCUGUGAAGAAGCAAGCUGCCAUGAGUCCUGCUGCCAUAAGAAAACGAGUUCUGCCAGAGCCUGAAGGAGCUAAGACAUGGAUCCUUCCAGUCAAGCCUCCAUGUGAGAACGCAGCCCUGCAUCACACCUUGACUGCAGCUUUGCCAAGGAUCCAGCUAAGCCGUGCCAGGACUCCUGACCCACAGAAACCGUGAGACAAUAAAUGUAUU
Molecule: long non-coding RNA, 1240 nt
Filed under: Ursus americanus (American black bear)
Lineage: Eukaryota; Metazoa; Chordata; Mammalia; Carnivora; Ursidae
Description: lncRNA (ENSUAMG00000008216.1)
Source: RNAcentral